This 852-nucleotide ribosomal RNA is filed under the name Pratylenchus thornei. RNAcentral describes it as "SSU rRNA". It matches the Rfam family "Eukaryotic small subunit ribosomal RNA", at positions 49 to 905 of the family's 1831-position model. The record is from RNAcentral. Lineage: Eukaryota; Metazoa; Nematoda; Chromadorea; Rhabditida; Pratylenchidae.
CCAUGCAUGUAUAAGUAUAAACGCUUUGAGCGUGAAACUGCGUACGGCUCAUUACAACAGCAAUAAUUUACUUGAUCUUGACUCACCUACAUGGAUAACUGUGGUAAUUCUAGAGCUAAUACAUGCACCAAAGCUCCGACCCGCGAGGGGAGAGCGCAUUUAUUAGAACAAAACCAAGCGGCUUCGGCCGUCCAUUGUUGACUCAGAAUAACUAAGCUGAUCGUACGGUCUUGUACCGACGACGUGUCUUUCAAGUUUCUGCCUUAUCAACUUUCGAUGGUAGUGUAUCUGACUACCAUGGUGGUGACGGGUAACGGAGGAUAAGGGUUCGACUCCGGAGAAGGGGCCUGAGAAAUGGCCACUACGUCUAAGGAUGGCAGCAGGCGCGCAAAUUACCCACUCUCAAUGCGAGGAGGUAGUGACGAGAAAUAACGAGGCCGUUCUCUUUGAGGCCGGUCAUCGGAAUGGGUACAAUUUAAACCCUUUAACGAGUAUCUAUGAGAGGGCAAGUCUGGUGCCAGCAGCCGCGGUAAUUCCAGCUCUCAAAAUGCAUAGAAUUAUUGCUGCGGUUAAAAAGCUCGUAGUUGGAUCUGUGCUUGUGCCUCGGUCCACCUAACGGUGCGCACUGAGUGUCGCAGGCUUUCCUGCAGUGUUCAGCCCCGGGGCCUUCACCGGCUCUGGUGUGUUGAUGCUGCAAGUUUACUUUGAACAAAUCGGAGUGCUCCAAACAGGCGUUUUUGCUUGAACGUUCGUGCAUGGAAUAAUAGAAGAGGAUUUCGGUUCAAUUUUAUUGGUUUUAUUGGCCGAGAUAAUGGUUAACAGAGACAAACGGGGGCAUUUGUAUUGCUACGU